GAGCCCACGGGGAGCCGCCGACCCGCCCCGGCUCGGGGCUGAGGGGAAAGGUUCGGCAGCGUGUCCCGUUUGGCCGGGCAGAGCGGCGGUGUAGGACACCCACACUCUGCUGACUUCGCCCCUGCUGAGCUCAGAGACACCUUGGAAACUCUCUGGUUAAGUGAGGUAAGACCUUGCCAGCAUUACCACCCUGCACUCACAGCAGGAACAUGGCAGCAAGGUCACAAAAAACAUCCCUUGUGCCACCCCAGCCCGCCAGGAGCACCACCAGAGUCCUGCAACUCAAAGAGAGGGAAGAAGGACAUCAGGCAGCAGCAUUGCCUGGGGUUUGUGGAGACUGAAGAGAGCAAAUUUCUGAGACAGUGUCACGGCACAGCAGCUGUUACCCUAAGUUUUAUGGCUACAGGCUACAAAGGACCUGUCCAAAAACAAGCCUGAUGAAGCCAAACAGGAGGACUCGGUGUCCCUUGUCCUCUGUGUUGCGUAAAAGUGAUGUUGGCCAGGCCAGCUAAACACACAAACUGGGGAAAUGUGAGUAUGACAUGAGUGAAUUGAUCUGUCCUGGUCCUGACACAACUGCAUUUGAUGUCAGAAGGUGAAAAGUGAGUGCUGGGAAAUAUUUGGGGACGGGGUCAGUGAGUCUGAACAUGCUCUGGUGUUCCCUCCCUCAGCCUGCUUUUUGCCAGGCAGGUUUAUAAUUAUAUAAAUCAAUGUAUUAUUAUUAUCAUUAUAUUAAUAUAAUAUUUACAUUAAUAUAAAUAUAGAGAUAAAUUAGGGACAGAUUAAUGCAACCAACACCAAUUGUUCUACAAGAUCCAUUCAUGGAGUAGCUGGUUUUGGGCUCACUCAAUAAAAACCAAGAUAAUUUAGGCCUUA
Corvus hawaiiensis (hawaiian crow) is the source of this 876-nucleotide long non-coding RNA. RefSeq lists it as uncharacterized. The record is from RefSeq and is a predicted model, not a curated record. Lineage: Eukaryota; Metazoa; Chordata; Aves; Passeriformes; Corvidae. The transcript is spliced from 2 exons.